This 466-nucleotide ribosomal RNA is filed under the name uncultured bacterium. RNAcentral describes it as "partial 16S ribosomal RNA". It matches the Rfam family "Bacterial small subunit ribosomal RNA", at positions 28 to 507 of the family's 1533-position model. The record is from RNAcentral.
GACGAACGCUGGCGGUGUGCUUAACACAUGCAAGUCGAACGGUAAGGCCCUUUCGGGGGUCCACGAGUGGCGAACGGGUGAGUAACACGUGAGUAACCUGCCCUCAUCUCUGGGAUAACAGUCGGAAACGGUUGCUAAUACUGGAUAUGAGCUUGCAAGGCAUCUUGUGGGUUGGAAAGAUUUUUUUGGUUGGGGAUGGACUCGCGGCCUAUCAGCUUGUUGGUGAGGUAGUGGCUCACCAAGGCUUCGACGGGUAGCCGGCCUGAGAGGGCGACCGGCCACAGUGGGACUGAGAUACGGCCCAAACUCCUACGGGAGGCAGCAGUGGGGAAUAUUGCACAAUGGACGGAAGUCUGAUGCAGCAACGCCGCGUGCGGGAUGACGGCCUUCGGGUUGUAAACCGCUUUCAAUUGUGACGAAGCUUUUUGUGACGGUAGCAGUAGAAGAAGCACCGGCUAACUACGUG